RNAcentral lists this long non-coding RNA (221 nucleotides) under Homo sapiens (human). RNAcentral's name for it is "EDIL3 divergent transcript". Lineage: Eukaryota; Metazoa; Chordata; Mammalia; Primates; Hominidae. The record is from RNAcentral.
CCUUUUGCCUGCGCUCCGGCGCGCGGAGGUCAUCUGCAGUUUUUUGUUGUUGUUGAUGAUCUUCCUGUCAUAGACAAUGCUGUAACAAACAGACUAUCCACAGGUUUUCUACUUUUUUGAGCUAAAUCGUGAUGAAGCAGAUGAUAAUCUGAGGCUCGCCUGCUAUAUUGUGAAAAUCCCUCUGUGCUUGUAAUAAAGGCUUCAUCUCCACAAGACCUAAA